AGAGCUUGCUCUCGGGUGACGAGUGGCGGACGGGUGAGUAAUGUCUGGGAAACUGCCUGAUGGAGGGGGAUAACUACUGGAAACGGUAGCUAAUACCGCAUAACGUCGCAAGACCAAAGAGGGGGACCUUCGGGCCUCUUGCCAUCAGAUGUGCCCAGAUGGGAUUAGCUAGUAGGUGGGGUAACGGCUCACCUAGGCGACGAUCCCUAGCUGGUCUGAGAGGAUAACCAGCCACACUGGAACUGAGACACGGUCCAGACUCCUACGGGAGACAGCAGUGGGGAAUAUUGCACAAUGGGCGCAAGCCUGAUGCAGCCAUGCCGCGUGUAUGAAGAAGGCCUUCGGGUUGUAAAGUACUUUCAGCGGGGAGGAAGGCGAUAAGGUUAAUAACCUUGUCGAUUGACGUUACCCGCAGAAGAAGCACCGGCUAACUCCGUGCCGGCAGCCGCGGUAAUACGGAGGGUGCAAGCGUUAAUCGGAAUUACUGGGCGUAAAGCGCACGCAGGCGGUCUGUCAAGUCGGAUGUGAAAUCCCCGGGCUCAACCUGGGAACUGCAUUCGAAACCGGCAGGCUGGA
RNAcentral lists this ribosomal RNA (576 nucleotides) under uncultured bacterium. RNAcentral describes it as "bacterial SSU rRNA". It matches the Rfam family "Bacterial small subunit ribosomal RNA", at positions 75 to 645 of the family's 1533-position model. The record is from RNAcentral.